This 65-nucleotide transfer RNA is filed under the name Gastropsetta frontalis (shrimp flounder). Its description in RNAcentral is "tRNA-Cys". Lineage: Eukaryota; Metazoa; Chordata; Actinopteri; Pleuronectiformes; Paralichthyidae. The record is from RNAcentral.
AGCUCUGGGGUGUGACACGUUAGAUUGCAAAUCUAAAGAAGUAGGCUAACUACCUACCGGGGCUU